AAGAGGGGCCAUAUCACUCUGCAACUCACAACUGGCACCCCCACUGAAGCUAAGCAGGUGUGAGCCUGGUCAGUACCUGGAUGGGAGACCUCCUGGGAAAAACUAAGGUUGCUGCUGGAA
RNAcentral lists this ribosomal RNA (120 nucleotides) under Lepisosteus oculatus (spotted gar). The record is from RNAcentral. Lineage: Eukaryota; Metazoa; Chordata; Actinopteri; Semionotiformes; Lepisosteidae.